UUUUGUGUCUUCCUUAUUGUGUUUCUUCAAUAUGAUUGCUUGACUAACUUACAACGAUGUGAAUGAGGUCGAAGCUUUGCACAGUUUGCAGCCCUUUUCUAAGGGCAGUUUUCCGAUGCAGAUUCUUUUAUUUUAUUUCAUGUUUUUGACUCUUGCGAGGAGAUAAGCCACCAUGACUGUAGCUGGAUUCUCACGAACCAGCUGCAGUCAUGCUCUUUGUCAUCCUGAUAAUCACGUGCUGUUGCAACGCAGCUUUCAGUGUUUUUAUUUUUAUUUUUAUUUAUUUUUAUUGUUUUUUUGAGGGGGCCGUGAGGCGGACACAGGAAGGUAAUCGAACGGUGUCAGUUCCGCACAAGGUUUAGAAGCAUGCCAGUCAUGGCUUUUGAGCAUGUUGGCACUAUGUGUGGUGGUGAUAGCAGCGGUCGUGGUGUUAGUACUCGAGAGCUUCGUUCCAACGAAGUUGUGUGAUGGCCUCGUCUGUCGCUUCAGCACCGUAUAUCAAAGACCAGCUUGCAAAGCUGCUCCCGCUACUACACAAGAGCAUUGGCCCACGCAUCAACUUCAUGUAGGAGAAUCCCUGGUACGCCUCGGCGUGACCUCAAUGCACCCACACGAGGACCGCUCUAAGCUUCUGGAGCGGCGCCAACUUGCAAAGCCCUUCGGUAUGGUUGUGGUUCACUGCUGAAGGACCAAGUCAAAAGGUAGAAUUUGAGUAAAGAAAAAGGAAAAAAAAAUGUGCACAGUUUCUUCUUUGUGUAUACAAAGUAUCUAUGGA
Physcomitrium patens is the source of this 775-nucleotide non-coding RNA. The record is from RefSeq and is a predicted model, not a curated record. NCBI's taxonomy places the organism in Eukaryota, Viridiplantae, Streptophyta, Bryopsida, Funariales, Funariaceae.